GACGAACGCUGGCGGCGUGCCUAAUACAUGCAAGUAGGACGCAGUUGCGAACGGGUGAGUAACGCGUAGGUAACUGCCUAUUAGAGGGGGAUAACUAUUGGAAACGAUAGCUAAUACCGCAUACUAGUAGAUGGACCUGCGUUGUAUUAGCUAGUAGGUAGGGUAAUGGCCUACCUAGGCGACGAUACAUAGCCGACCUGAGAGGGUGAUCGGCCACACUGGGACUUGAACUCGGCCCAGAAUCCUGCGGGAGGCAGCAGUAGGGAAUCUUCGGCAAUGGGGGGAUCCCUGACCGAGCAACGCAGCGUGAAUGAAGAAGGUUUUCGGAUCGUAAAGCUCUGUUGUUGAGGAAGCGGUACUUAACCAGAAAAGGACGGCUAACUACGUGCCAGCAGCCGCGGUAAUUC
This 407-nucleotide ribosomal RNA is filed under the name uncultured bacterium. Its description in RNAcentral is "partial 16S ribosomal RNA". It matches the Rfam family "Bacterial small subunit ribosomal RNA", at positions 28 to 526 of the family's 1533-position model. The record is from RNAcentral.